Molecule: ribosomal RNA, 207 nt
Filed under: uncultured bacterium
Lineage: Bacteria
Description: partial 16S ribosomal RNA
Rfam family: Bacterial small subunit ribosomal RNA
Source: RNAcentral
CGCGUAGGCGGUUUCUAAAGUCAGAUGUGAAAUCCCGGGGCUUAACCCCGGAAGUGCAUUUGGAACUUAGGGUCUUGAGUAUGGGAGAGGGAAGUGGAAUUCCUGGUGUAGCGGUGAAAUGCGUAGAUAUCAGGAGGAACACCGGUGGCGAAGGCGACUUCCUGGACCAAUACUGACGCUGAGGCGCGAAGGCGUGGGGAGCAAACA